This 253-nucleotide ribosomal RNA is filed under the name uncultured bacterium. Its description in RNAcentral is "partial 16S ribosomal RNA". It matches the Rfam family "Bacterial small subunit ribosomal RNA", at positions 524 to 776 of the family's 1533-position model. The record is from RNAcentral.
UACGUAGGGGGCGAGCGUUGUCCGGAUUUAUUGGGCGUAAAGAGCUCGUAGGCGGUUUGGCAAGUCGCGUGUGAAAGCCCCCGGCUCAACUGAGGAACUGCACAGGAAACUGCUUGGCUUGAGUUCGGGAGAGGGAAGCGGAAUUCCGGGUGUAGCGGUGAAAUGCGCAGAUAUCAGGAGGAACACCGGUGGCGAAGGCGGGUCUCUGGGCCGAUACUGACGCUGAGGAGCGAAAGCGUGGGGAGCGAACAGG